GCAUUGGUGGUUCAGUGGUAGAAUUCUAGCUUGCCAUGUUGGAGGCCUCGGUUCGAUUCCUAGCCAAUGCA
Molecule: transfer RNA, 71 nt
Filed under: Ameiurus melas (black bullhead)
Lineage: Eukaryota; Metazoa; Chordata; Actinopteri; Siluriformes; Ictaluridae
Rfam family: tRNA
About the family: Transfer RNA (tRNA) molecules are approximately 80 nucleotides in length.
Source: Rfam by way of RNAcentral